Molecule: long non-coding RNA, 670 nt
Filed under: Homo sapiens (human)
Lineage: Eukaryota; Metazoa; Chordata; Mammalia; Primates; Hominidae
Description: non-protein coding lnc-ARMCX3-6:1
Source: RNAcentral
GUAUGGAAUAGGAAAUACCAAAUAAAUCAGCCAGUGAAUAAGGAUCCUAGGAAAACUAGCAGGAGCUCCUCCACCCAAGGCUGAACUGGAAGCCAAGAGUCUGAAAGACAGUUCCAAAUGCUAGGGUAAUAAUAUAGACUUUAAAGAGAACACGGAGAUGUGGGUAAUAAUGAAGUAACUCUGUUGCCAGGUCAACAGACAUGGAGCUUCUCUGUUCAGAUUCCCUUUCAACCUCAGGCUCAAAUCAUCCAUCACUGUGAACUUAGACUGAGUGAAAGAGGAGACGACAACCCGGAGAAUUUGUGGCUGUGGGAAGCCUCCUCUUACAACGCUUAAAAAUGAUGAAGACCCUGCUGUUGGUAGAGUGAAGAGAGGGCCUUCUUUGCGUGAAAAACCUAUCCAUCACAAUGGUUGGUUGGUCAGAUGUGAUUCUCUAUUACCGUUUAAUGUUGCAGCUAAUCUUCUCUCUUCUGCUCCUCAUCACAUUAGUGUCACGCAUGGUCUUCCAAAUUUGGAAACAACGUUGGACAACUUAACCUCAGGAGAUGAAAGAUUUUCAAACUUAGUGGACAUCUGCAACUUUCAGAAGAAGAGAACAAAUAAUGGACUAAAAGGGAAAAGGACAUGUACUUCAUUAUUGCCUCUUGGCAUUUAAUAGCUGGCUCUGGUU